AAACCACUCAACACGACAGGGAAUCGAGUCUUAUUCUGUGUUAAGUUAUUCACUAAGAACUACACAAGAUGAAAACGUUAACUGUGUUCACCAUUGUAUUAAUAAUAACUCUGAUGUUUGUUGAAGACUCUCAAAGCUGGAGACGACGACGACGAUCACCUCCCCCACCCCCACAACCAUCAUGUGGCAAGUGUCUGGGAUUCGCCAGAAAGAUAGUAGCCCCUGGUCGUAUUCAUACAUAUGGCACUGAUUGUGCCGCAUGUGGCCACGACUGUCGAUCUUGCCUAUCACACACGUAUGAAAGAACCAUGACUGGUGUUCAAGUAUAUACCUGUCAACUUAGCUGCGACUAAAAAGCGCAUUGAUCGUUUGUCUUUGUGAUGCCUAUUUGUUCAAUCGCUCUACUUAGUUUGUUUUUACAUUGUAAUAUUCAAAUUUGUGCAUUAUUUUACUACUGCUUAGCAACUAAAAACAUUGUAAUAUUCAUAAAUGUACAUUCUACCAUUGAUUAGUAAAUGAAAGUAAACACAUUGUAAUAUUCAAAUGUGUGCAUUAUUUUACUACUGCUUAGUAAAUAAAAGAAAACACAUUGUAAUAUUCAAAAAUGUGCAUUAUUUUACUACUGCUUAGUAAAUAAAAACAUUGUAAUAUUCAAAAA
This 658-nucleotide long non-coding RNA is filed under the name Saccoglossus kowalevskii. RNAcentral's name for it is "uncharacterized LOC102807288, transcript variant X1". Lineage: Eukaryota; Metazoa; Hemichordata; Enteropneusta; Harrimaniidae. The record is from RNAcentral.